Long non-coding RNA from Cyprinus carpio (common carp), 8296 nucleotides. NCBI's taxonomy places the organism in Eukaryota, Metazoa, Chordata, Actinopteri, Cypriniformes, Cyprinidae. The record is from Ensembl.
AAAUAAGUUCACUGAUAUUCUUAGGUGAUAUCCUAUUUUGGGUGAGGCCAUCAGAUUCAAUCCAAACAAGGAUUAUUACAGAAAACGUUUCAGACAGAAACAUGCUGCAUUUUUAGUGUAAAUUCGGCUCUUACAGAUGUAUUUUCUGUUCUCGAUUCAUGUUUUAACACAGUUGGCCUUUGCUGCUGAGCCAACAUUUCUUCAGCGGACCUUAUCUAAAGGUGUGCUCCCUCAUGAAACUCCUAUUAACGCGUCUUUCUCAGUAGUCUUCGCUCUAUGCUGCGAAUUGCUUUCUUUUGUUUCCUUCUAAUGAAUUUAGCCUGAGUUCACAUUAUUGCUUUGUGCAGAAUGUGUAGCCUGAUGUAUUUUUCAUUUCAUCUCUCUCCUUCUUUCAUGCCAUCCUCAGAAACCGCCAUAGUCUAAGACAUCUCCUCCUCGUCCUCAGCCAAAAGAACUUCUCACAACAUCAAAGAAAGCCGGAGAGAAGGAGAGCGGGAAGGAGGGGUCUGCCUUGUAUCUGGGUUCUCAUGGAGAAGACGGUGGAGGAGAGGGGGAGGGGGAAAGCGAUUGAGAGAGAGAGAGAGAGAGAGAGAAAGAAAGGCAGGUAUGGAGGGAGGGAAACGAGGAUGAGAGAGGAACGAAGCCAACCAACCAGCUGAAAGAGAACGAGCGAUCGGGGCUGUUUGAACGUGGCUGGGAGAAAAGGAGGGAGGAGGGAGAGAGAGAGGGUGAGAUCGAUUGUCAGAUCCGAGGAAAUAGAAGUGUUACUAUUGCACGGCCACUGGAACGGUGUCUGCCUGCUGAGGAUAUGCAUUGGCUCCCAGCGCUCACCGGCUCGCAGGACACGCUCUAAGAUGUAAUUUCCAAAGGCCUAAUUGUUGCCACGGAGGGAUCUACAAAUAGAGGCAACCACAGCAAGACAUGUGUCUCUGGGGAUGAUGCCGUUGCCGCUGGUGCCACUCUCCCUGUCGCCAUGACGAUGCCGCUCAGCCCCCUCUCCAGCGACGAGGAGCAGCAAAGGAUGCUGGGAAACAGUCAACACCUUUAUCCAGGGGCAGAAGAGGAAGAAGAAGAGGAGGAGGAGGAGGAAGAGGAAAUGGAUGAUGACUGCGUGGACGAGGAAGGCGAGGAGGAGAACGGAGAGCUGGAGUUGGAUGAUGAAGAGGACGUGGACGACGAAGAUGACAUCAGGCGAGGUCCAAGGCGUUUGAGAGGAGGCAGGGAAGAGGGGCACAGGCAAAAAGGCACAAUGGCUGGACGACUUCCAGGAGACAGACCGCUACGAGCUGGCAACCCGGGCCACACAGCCAACCCGUAUUCGUCCAACACUGGACCCACCCACCAAGCGCCGGCUAAUCAGCAGCAGCCGCAACAGCAGCGGAAGCUACGAGAGCGAAGCUCAAGCAACGCACCUGACGACACACACAUAGCUAUGAUGGUCUUUCGAAUUGGCAUUCCUGAUAUCAAACAGACGAAGUGUCUGAGGUUCAACCCUGAUGCAACCGUAUGGAAGGCAAAGCAGCAGGUGCUGUGUAGUCUAACUGAAUCUCUAAGGGAUGUAUUAAACUACGGUCUUUUCCAACCUGCUACCGAAGGGCACGAUGCCAAGUUCCUGGAGGAAGAGAGGCCGCUCCGCGAAUACCCACAAUCCUUUGAGAAAGGAGUACCCUACCUGGAGUUCCGCUACAAAACCAGGGUGUACAAACAGACAAAUCUAGAUGAAAAACAGCUGGCCAAACUACACACAAAGGCCAGUCUGAAGAAGUUCAUGGACUACAUCCAGACCGGGGCUGUGGAAAAGGUAGCCAAACUUGUAGACAAAGGCCUUGACCCCAACUACCAUGACCCUGAUACAGGAGAGACCCCACUCACUCUGGCCGUACAGACGGAGCCGGGUGGAGGGGAGAUCAUCAGGGUGCUGGUGAUGGGGGGAGCUCACAUUGACUUCAGGGCAAAGGAUGGCUUGACCCCUCUCCACAAGGCUGUCAGAGCGCAUGCGCACACUGCCCUACUGACGCUGUUGUCUUUGGGGGCAUCUUCUGAUUAUAAGGACCGCCGUGGGCUGACACCACUGUACCACACUGUGCUGACAGGGGGUGACACCUCCUGCUGUGAGACCCUCCUCUAUCACAGAGCCAAGCUGGGGCUCCGUGAUGAGAAUGGCUGGGACGAGACCCAUCAGGCUUGUCAAAAUGGGAACUCUCAACAUUUAGAGCACCUGCUUUUUUAUGGUGCAGACUCCUCAUCCCAGAAUGCCUCAGGAAACACUGCCCUGCACAUAUGUGCUUUAUAUAACAAGGAAAGCUGUGCCCGCAUUUUGCUGUAUCGAGGAGCCAAUAAGGACACAAAGAAUAACAGUGGGCAGACCCCCUUCCAGGUGGCUGUGAUGUCUGGCCAUUUUGAGCUGGGAGAAAUCAUUAAAAACCACCGUGAAUCAGAUGUAGUUCCCUUUUUGGAGUCUCCAAAGUAUGCCCCCCAGAGGAAGGAGAGUUCACGUACUCUUGGAUUGCCCCAUCCUCAUCCCUUCUUGCGGGCCAACAGUGACAACAGUAUGAACGUGCCAGACUGGAUCGCUUUUCCCAACGCUGCCGGAUCAAACCUAGUCUCUGUGCAGGGUCUAAAGCAUGGCGGCACCUUGCGUAGCUCCAGCAGUCCCCGUGGAGCACGAACCCGUUCCCCGUCCCGUGGCCGAACAGGCGACCGAGACGAUCGGAGCCGGCAAACACGGGGAAGACAAGGGGCUGGCUCUAUCAGUAGUCAGGGCACAGCAAGCGGGCAGCGGCGGCGUCUCUACAGUGCCGUGCCUGGCCGUGUGUUUGUGGCCACCCGCUCGCACUCGGCCCAGGGAGACCGCGAGAUCAGCUUCAACAAGGGAGACAAAGUCAAAGUGUUGAGUGUUGGUGAAGGAGGCUACUGGGAGGGGACAGUUCGCGGGCGGACGGGCUGGUUCCCCUCUGACUGCGUGGAGGAGGUGGCUCUCCGCAGCCUGGAGUCCCGUUCAGAGAGCCGCAGUGAGAGAGCCAAGCGACUAUUCCGACAUUACACCGUUGGAUCCUAUGAUAGCUUUGACGCACCCAGUGACUACAUAAUCAAGGAGAAGACAGUCCUCCUGCAGAAAAAAGACAAUGAAGGUUUUGGCUUUGUGCUGAGAGGAGCCAAGGCUCAGACCCCUAUAGAAGAGUUCACUCCCACCCCAGCCUUUCCAGCACUGCAGUACCUCGAGUCUGUCGACGAGGGAGGCGUGGCUUGGAGAGCUGGUCUGCGAAUGGGAGACUUCCUUAUCGAGGUGAAUGGUCAGAAUGUGGUUAAGGUGGGACACAGGCAGGUGGUCAAUAUGAUCAGGCAAGGCGGCAACAGCCUCAUGGUCAAGGUUGUCAUGGUUACCCGGAACCCUGAUAUGGAGGAAGGGGUCCGAAAGAAAAUCCCACAGCAGAGUAAAAGGCUGAGCACACCGGCUAUCGCUCUGCGCUCCAAAUCAAUGACAUCAGAACUGGAAGAGAUGGUGUUCACAGCCUCUGCCCCAUGGAAAAAAAAAUCAGAGUUCGAGUCUUCACAAGCUACAGAGAAGAAGAGGACAGUUUAUCAGAUGGCUUUGAAUAAACUGGAUGAGAUUUUAGCAGCAGCACAGCAGACCAUCAACACCAAUGAGGCCCCAGGGCCCCGGGUUCAGGGGGUAAAAAGAGAACGGGGCAGAGGCUUUUAUAAUGAGCCAAGUUUCGACCAAUCGGGAAUGGGGAUGACAACAUCUGGGGCAGGGCUAGGCUAUGACCGUGGUCAAUUUGUGUCUGGCCACGCCCCCCCGCACGGUAUGCUGCGACAGAAGUCCAUCGGGGUUCCAGAGGAGGAGAAGCAGUUCCUUCAUCCUCCAGCCAUGAAGUUUGCCCGCAGUCUUUCAGUACCUGGCCCAGAUGACAUCCCUCCUCCCCCUACUACAGCUCCCCCUGAGCCCCCUUUCUCCUCAGCUCCCCCUCUUGGCUUUAGGGGCAAGACAUCCCAGCAGCCGUCUGUUUCUAUGUCCCAAUCCACUUCCUCUUCUGCACAUUAUCAGCUCUACUCACAGUCAGUACAUGUCACACAUGGACCCAGAGACAGGUCCCCUGGACCACCUGCUGGGUCCGGAACCGGAGACCUCUCUUACUCACAUGCUCAAGCCCACCCCUCUGUGCCAAGCAGGACUGCCUCCAGAAAGGUGAUUGGGUACACAGGGGACCUUGCAGGGGCUGGAGGAGCACCAGGAGCCAAGGCAGCAGCAUUGAGAAGGGGCUACAGCAAUGCAGUCCCACCCACUAGUGUCGCUACUGUAAUUCCACAACAGCAGCAGACUACUCAGAGCCAACCUUCCAGGAUGGACCGCAGUGCGACAGGGGCAGGAGCAGGGGCAGGUGGUGUACCGAAAGGUGGUGCCCGGAGAGGGAAGGGGCCCUUGGUGAAACAGUCAAAGGUGGAGGAUCUGCGUCAGGGCCAGGGCACACUGGAAGGGAAGGGGUCAGUGGAGAAGAGCUCUAUUCCUAUCCCAACCAUCAUCGUUAAAGCUCCUUCCACCAGCAGCAGUGGUCGCAGUAGCCAAGGCAGCAGCAUGGAGGCUGAACCACCUCCUCCAGGAGAGAGUGACAGUUCUAAACCCCAACCUAUUGUUCCCCCACCUGCACCCACCGUUCCACCCCCAGCCCCUCCAUCUAUACCUGCUCCCCCACCCCCAUCACUGCGUACUCAAGAGAGUUUGGACUUCACCAGCCAGUUUGGUGCUGCCAUAGUAGGGGCAGCUCGCAGGGAUCGAGAACGAUUCCAUGAAGCACGACGGAAGAGUGCCUCCUUUUUUCUUUCUGCUGAGGAAGAGUUGGGUGGAGCAGGAGAAGUGGGAGGACGGACCCAGACUUCCCAACAGCAGCUGAGUUCCCAGCCUUUACCUCGUCUGCGACCGUCCAAAUCUAUAGAUGAAGGCAUGUUCUCAGGUGAUACUUUUAUCCACCACACACGCAGUAUGCCUCCUGCCUUUGGCCUGCCUGAGUACUCCUCACCUGCUCCUCCUGGGGAUUACCAGCCUAAGUCUGUACCUGCUGACUUCUAUGGGGCGGGAGGCCGACAACAGCAGCAGCAGCAGCAAUCCUCCACCACAACUUUCAUUCACCCAUUAACGGGGAAAGUUCUGGAUCCUUCAUCCCCACUAGGCUUGGCGUUGGCUGCAAGGGAACGUGCCUUGAAAGAUGAUGGUCGCAUACGCAGGGAGAGGACAACUGAACAUCAUUUUACCCGUCAGUUGUCCAGCAUUGGGGCCUUUCCCUCGUCCACUGCUCAACCAGCAUCACAUAUCUCCUACUCAAUGGCCUCGUCUUCCUCUGCAACCUCCUCUGCUGCUCAGUCCUCAAGCUCCUCCUCGUACCUUGUUACCUCCUCAUCACUCGCUGCCACCACUACAUCUACUCGGCCUCCAUCUCCCAGGAUCCUGCGUGGAGCAGGAACCAGCUGGGGUGAGGAAGCAGGGGUUGGAGAGCGUGCAGACAGGGAGGCAGCUGGCACCUCUGCUCCCAGAGAAGGCCUAAGGGUUCGUUUCUCUGAGGAUAAAACAGUCCACACGCACCACUAUCAGCCCACCUACAAGGAGCGCGAACGAGAGCGGCAGAGAGAGAGGUCACGAGAAAGAGAGAGAGAACGAGAAAGGGAAAGAGAGAUAGAUAAAGCUCAGACCCAGUUACAGCAGCAGUCCACACAGCCAACACCCCAGCAGCCUCGACGCCCCUCGUUCUUGAGGAUGGAGAGUGAGGCUGGAGCAUACAUCCUUUCCUUGACACCACCUUCAACAACAGCCCCUACACGUCCUUCAGCAGGAGCUGCAGGUGAAGGUGCAAGUGGCACUGGUCUGAUGGUUCUUCCUCCCCCAGCACCCUCAGUAGAUGCAGAUGAUGAGUUUGUGUUUGUUGAUCCUCUCCCUCCACCUCUGGAGUUUGCCAAUAGUUUUGAUCGUGGUUUGAGUUACUCUGCGAUGAUGUCCCACAAUGUGACAGCCCGCCAGCAGCUUCAUCAUCCACCUCAACCACCACCUCCUCCGCCACCUCCUCCCCCUCCAAAAGACUCCUUUAUGUCUGGGUUCCCACCUCACACACCCCUGCCCUCACCCCAGGCAGGAGAUUCAACAACUUCCAGCCUUACUUCCUAUGACAGUGAGGUCGCCAACCUCACCCAGUCAGCCCCGUCUCCCUCUCCAUCUUCCCCCAACCCACUACCGCCUCCCUCUCCCUCCACCUUGCAGCCCUCUGGGCCACCUCCACCUCCUUCUGUAUCACCCCCGCCACCACCCACCUCCUACCAUAGACCGUUUGGCCUAUCUCAGUCACAACACUUAUACAACAGUACAAAUUCAGCCGGACGCUCCUCUUCUCCCACACCACCACCUCUCUCUAUUCCAGCUCCACCUGCCUACCGGGGCCCUCCAACAGCAACAUCCACCCCAGCAACUUCUGUAUCUCUCAGAGGUGCCUCAACUGUGACCGCAAGCUGUUCCACAACUGCUUCUACAACUGUAGUCUCUUCUGCUACUACUGCUGCUGCUGCUGUCACACCACACACACGCAUUGCAACUGUCUCCACAGUAGCUACAGGGGGUAGCAGACGGCCCAGCGCAGAGCGCCAUCCGCCACCCAGUGCAGCUAAGAGCGGCGAGUCCCAGGAGACAGUGGUGGAUUCUGGGAUUGAGGAGCUGGAUAGCCGAAGCAGCAGCGACCAUCACUUAGACAACAUCCUUGCACGCAGUGGUAGUGGGGUCAGAGAAAGGUUGGAGAGAGCAGGGAUGGGUAGCUUAGGUGGAGUUGGAGAGAGAGGUGGGGCAACAGAGGCCGACAGAAUAAGUGGGGCAGACUUUUUAGAGUCUUACAUGAGCUAUCUUGAUGGACAGACUUUUGAAAUGCACAAUGCCAAAGCCGCCAGCACUGCAUCCACCUACCCAAAAACACAGAGGUACAGAGAAGGGAGUCGGGCUGGAGAUCUUCGACGCCAAACCAGCACGGCACCCCCUGCAUACCACCGUCGUAGGGAUGAGGAAGAGGAGGAGGAGGAAGAAGCAGAAGAAGGAGAGGAGGAGGAUGUGAAUGUCCGCGAUGGCUAUGGAAUGAGGGAAGUGCCAGGGAUCGCUCGCUCCUCUGUAAUGUACUUUGACCGGCCCCGCACUCCAGAGAUAAAACCUCUGUGGGGUGAUGGGUCGGCCGGGGCAGCGCAGUCCAUGGGGGAGGGAGGGGUCCAGACUGGGGGGACAUAUGUGGAGGCACGUAAACUGCAUCCUCCCAUGUCCGGUAUGAAGGCAAGCAUCAUCAAUGAACUCAGCACCAAAUUACAGCAGAGGAGCAAAGGAACGGAGAACUGGGGAACUCAGAGAUCACUGAGCAGACAUAGGUACAGGUUCUCAGAGGACUCCACAGGUGCACUGAGUCCUCCCUCUGUCCGCUCUAGCUCUCCAUCUCCUGUUCAGCUCUCUCAGCCUGCCUUGUCUCCCUCCCCCACCCCUUCUUCCCAGCCGCUCUACCCAAAUUGGGCUCGAUCUCCUUCCCCUCAGCCCCCUGCUGCCUCAUCCCAGCUUCCUCCCCGAUCACACUCACCUGUUUCUCCCUCUUCAUAUUCACCGUACCCUACCUCACCCAAACACCGGCCCGUUUACCGCACCAAAGCCCUGGAGUUCCAGUUUAUCCCCAGCAGAGAGUCACGUAAGGCAGAGUCGCAUCACGCUCAGCGCAGAAGAGCACCCAGCCCGUUAAUUUCACCCUCUGACCGCCCAAAGCUUGGCCCUCCCCGCCCCUCUUCCCUUCCCAUUCUCCCCACCACGCCCCUCUAUAGCAGCUUGUAUGACCUCCGUGGUUCUAUUACUCCACCCUCACCUGCCAAUCCUCUUGGGGACCCCUACUUCUCCCCCUCUCCCCCUCUCUUUGCCCCCUCGGGGGCUCCACCUCCUCCAAAUUCCUCUCUGGUGGUCUCUCGCUCCUUGUCCCCCACCCACUUCCUGUCAGGGACUUCAUCCCCACCACUCCACCCCAUUCCUCCACCCACUUGCCUGAGUUACCCUCACCUCCCACCCCCUUCACCCACCAAACCCUUUGCCUCCAAACCACUCCCAUAUUGGACCAAGUAUGAUGUGGCGGAUUGGCUGGGCUACCUGAACCUGGGUGAGCACAGGGAGCGAUUCCUAGACAACGAGAUUGAUGGCACGCACCUACCCUCUCUUACCAAGGAUGACUACCUGGACCUGGGUGUGACCAGGGUUGGCCAUCGCAUGAACAUAGAGAGGGCGCUCAGGAGAGUGAUGGACAGGUGA